Molecule: long non-coding RNA, 1713 nt
Filed under: Lingula anatina
Lineage: Eukaryota; Metazoa; Brachiopoda; Lingulata; Lingulida; Lingulidae
Description: uncharacterized LOC112041822
Source: RNAcentral
AUUGGUCGGCACGGUCGCGGUCGGCAGUCGUUGUCGGGCCGACGUCGGGCCACUACUAGCCCGACGUCGGUAUAACGGUGGCUCAUCAGCUGUGCGUCGGGCCACUACUGGUGACCCGACGUCGGGCCGACGACUGCUUCACGCCGUCGGCCCGACGUCGGUAUAACGGUGGCUCACCAGCUGUGCUCGAUUUGCACUAAGCGGCCAAUUUCAAAUCGAGGUCACCCACACUAAGCGGCCAUAGAUCGUUGCAAGUGCACUUGACGGUUAUUUCAUAUUUUCCGUAUUUUGCACCAAAUUGUUAGGUAAGUAUUUACUUUAAAGUGUUUAUGUUUUUCGUACUAUAGGUGGAGGUUUAUUUGUUGUAGAUGAAUUAACGAAAACAAGCAAAUCUGUUAAUAAUUUGUUAGUCGUAGCUGCAGGCAGUUGGCGCGCUGCAUGCCGCCUUUGAACCAACGUCGGGGCGACGUUGGGUUUCCGGCGGCCAAAAAUAUUUUCCCGCUCAAAUUCUUUUAUGCUUUGAAAGACAUUUCAAUUACCACAUUUCAUGUAUAGACAAUUUAUAAAUGUGAAUGAGCAACGUUCUAGUACUUUUUUUUGUACCUAGGAGUAUAUAUUGUUUAUAUUUUCUCUAGUUGAAUUUGAAAUGCUUAUAUAAUAGGUGUAUAUAGCAAGGCUGCAUGAUACUAACAUGUAAACUUAUAAUGUCAGCAUGGGCUUAACACUGGAUAAACCUUAUGGCAUACAUUCCAAACUCAGUUUAGCAUUAAGGGGUCAGUAGGCUAACCUAAAAUAUCCAGCGGUGGUUCUUUUAGGGGGGGGGGGGGGCAAGUUUAAAUUGAAUUUUUUUCUAGAUGUUUAGUCAAAUACCCACAGGGUAUGAUAUAAUAAUGUUUCUUUUUUGGUUUAGGCUCAUAAUUAGACAAGGCAUUUUGUGCACAUUACAAAGCCACACUUAAUAUGUAUCUCAUAUUUCUCUUAUAGUCUUCCAUCAUGCAUUACUACCUAUUUGUCGCCUGUGUUGAGCAGUCAAUCCUCACAAGAAAAUACACUUGAAAGAGAGAGAAGCAGCCCAGGCGCCGCAGCAGAGUUCCUCAGAUGAAUAUUAGUCAUCAUCAUCAUUCCUCUUCGUCCAGUGUGGGAAUUAAUUAAGGCCACAGUCACUUCUUUCCAGCGUAGUGUCGUAGUCAAAGAUAUGCUGCAAAUCUUGCGACUCACAGAGCGUCAUCUAUUUGAUAUGAUGUUAACAAUGCCAUCAAAUGUACGUCGGGGAAACGAGGCAGAAAUUAAAAGACAGAAUUAGACACCACCGCUGCCCUAUAAACAACAAAAACCUCUUCGUGCCUGUGGGACAACACAACACUCAGCUAAAGACAUCACCGUUACCGUCUUAAAAGGAAACGAUACUAGGCAAAGACGGAUCGUCGUACAGAAAUGUAUUAGAACACUAGACACCUUGAAUAAUGGACUCAGAAGGGACAAUAGUUUCUUAAAUGAAUAUUGAUUUUUUAUAUGUUACGUUUAGCGUUUAGGACGCUUUUGCAGCAUCGCGUGCCUUUAACACAUCAUCGACGCCACAUACCCCAGGAGUUUUUCUUCACCAUUUUUUUAAUGUCUCUGAAGAAGGCCUAGGGACCGAAAGCUUGGAUUAUAUAUGACAUCUGUAAAGUAGAUCCUUAGAGAUGCAUCAGUAAUAAUAUUUAUUUUCAAUAA